Molecule: ribosomal RNA, 494 nt
Filed under: uncultured bacterium
Lineage: Bacteria
Description: bacterial SSU rRNA
Rfam family: Bacterial small subunit ribosomal RNA
Source: RNAcentral
AAAGGAAUAGACGGGGGCCCGCACAAGCGGAGGAACAUGUGGUUUAAUUCGAUGAUACGCGAGGAACCUUACCCGGGCUUGAAUUGCAGACUGAUCCGGCAGAGAUGCCGGAGUCCUUCGGGAAGUCUGUGAAGGUGCUGCAUGGUUGUCGUCAGCUCGUGCCGUGAGGUGUCGGCUCAAGUGCCAUAACGAGCGCAACCCCUGUCUCCUGUUGCCAUCAGGUUAAGCUGGGCACACUGGAGAGACUGCCGCCGUAAGGUGUGAGGAAGGUGGGGAUGACGUCAAAUCAGCACGGCCCUUACGUCCGGGGCUACACACGUGUUACAAUGGCCGGUACAGAGCGAGGGUGUCCCGCAAGGUGCAUCAAACCGCGAAAACCGGUCCCAGUUCGGACUGGGGUCUGCAACCCGACCCCACGAAGCUGGAUUCGCUAGUAAUCGCGCAUCAGCCAUGACGCGGUGAAUACGUUCCCGGGCCUUGUACACACCGCCCGU